AGACAUUUUAUAAUCUCGAGCUUACUUUCGUAACUUAACAAAAGUUAAUUAACAACUAUUCUUAUAUACAUUGAAAAUGACUCCGAAAGAUAAAAAAAAGUUUAUUGAUUCCAUCAAAACUCUACAAACAAAUAUAAAUGACGAUGAAAAUAAUGCAAAUUCUCCAAAAGUCAAAAUUAUUGAGACCUUAGAACGUGAAAUUGAAGAGCUCAAAAAUAAUAUUGAAUUUUACAAAAGUUACGUUAACCAUUUUAACGAAAAUCAAGCAAAAUUGAAAUCUGUCGAUUGAUCAUACAGGGGUCGAGGACAUGGACGUGGACGUGGGUACAGUUAUCCAUUUUAUUACGAAAAAUAAUAAAACAUUAUUGAGUUAAAAUAAAUAAAAAUUAU
Long non-coding RNA from Microplitis demolitor, 390 nucleotides. RefSeq lists it as uncharacterized. Lineage: Eukaryota; Metazoa; Arthropoda; Insecta; Hymenoptera; Braconidae. The record is from RefSeq and is a predicted model, not a curated record. The transcript is spliced from 3 exons.